This 447-nucleotide ribosomal RNA is filed under the name uncultured bacterium. RNAcentral describes it as "bacterial SSU rRNA". It matches the Rfam family "Bacterial small subunit ribosomal RNA", at positions 355 to 825 of the family's 1533-position model. The record is from RNAcentral.
UCGGGAAUUUUGGGCAAUGGGCGAAAGCCUGACCCAGCAACGCCGCGUGAAGGAUGAAGUAUUUCGGUAUGUAAACUUCGUAAGAAUAGGAAGAAUAAAUGACGGUACUAUUUGUAAGGUCCGGCUAACUACGUGCCAGCAGCCGCGGUAAUACGUAGGGACCAAGCGUUGUUCGGAUUUACUGGGCGUAAAGGGCGCGUAGGCGGUGUGUCAAGUCAGUUGUGAAAUCUCCGAGCUUAACUCGGAACGGUCAACUGAUACUGUCACACUAGAGUACAGAAGGGGCAAUCGGAAUUCUUGGUGUAGCGGUGAAAUGCGUAGAUAUCAAGAGGAACACCUGAGGCGAAGGCGGGUUGCUAGGCUGAUACUGACGCUGAGGCGCGAAAGCUAGGGUAGCAAACGGGAUUAGAUACCCAAGUAGUCCCUGAGCGGGCUGGCAAGGCGCAU